This is a long non-coding RNA of Drosophila sulfurigaster albostrigata, 657 nucleotides long. RefSeq lists it as uncharacterized. Lineage: Eukaryota; Metazoa; Arthropoda; Insecta; Diptera; Drosophilidae. The transcript is spliced from 2 exons. The record is from RefSeq and is a predicted model, not a curated record.
UUCGAAGCACUUUAGCUACCAAUAUAAAUAGGAUACUUUUAAGACUCAUUUAAAUCAUAUCGGCUUCAGGCGCUGUUACAUUAUCGAACAUGAGAGAAAUAUGCAACGAGUAAGAGAUGAAAGAGUAUCAGAGUGACUUGAGUUUAAUUUCAGUUUACUCUAUCACAAAUUUCAGCUUCAACUUGCUAUCAUUUUACGUUUGAAUUUAGUGUCAAAUAUGAGACUCCUUUCAGUAAGCUGAAGCUAACUUUCCACAUUCAUUCGAAAACAAUAUUUUGUGCCGAUUACAUCGCUAGAAUAAUUUUAACAUUACAAUUUUUUACAAUUAUAUUUGCAUUACCUUUGCACUUUUAGCGGGCUUUUUCUUUUAUUAAUUUAUUUUAUCAAGUAAGUACCAACAAUUCACGCAUAUAUAAUACUGUCAAUGGAUAAUAGUAGUAGUAAAGCGCUUUAAUCAACAUUUAAAAUUUUAACCAACAUAACGUGUUCCUAAAAAAUUAGCAACGUGUAGAUGACGCUAUAAAGUUUAUACAUAUAUUCUUGAUCGGCGACAACUGCCGAGGCGAUAUAGCCAUGUCCGUCUGUCUGUCAGAUAAAAGACAAAGAGGACGAUAUCGAAGGUGACGAUGCGGGAUGUUUGAAAGUGAACGUUGACCC